AGCAGGACAAACAGAAGUUCAAG
Molecule: non-coding RNA, 23 nt
Filed under: Cricetulus griseus (Chinese hamster)
Lineage: Eukaryota; Metazoa; Chordata; Mammalia; Rodentia; Cricetidae
Source: RNAcentral